ACCACGACUCUCGACAAUGGAUAUCUUGGCUCUCGUUUCGAUGAAGAACGUAGCGAAAUGCGAUACUUUGUGUGAAUUGUAGAAUCUCAUGAAUUAUCGAAUCUUUAAAUGAAAGUUGUACCUGAGAUCCUAGGUUGAGGGCACGCCUGGCUGGGUGCGGUGAUG
This 165-nucleotide ribosomal RNA is filed under the name Gnetum klossii. RNAcentral's name for it is "5.8S ribosomal RNA". It matches the Rfam family "5.8S ribosomal RNA". Rfam says of the family: 5.8S ribosomal RNA (5.8S rRNA) is a component of the large subunit of the eukaryotic ribosome. The record is from RNAcentral. Lineage: Eukaryota; Viridiplantae; Streptophyta; Gnetopsida; Gnetales; Gnetaceae.